GCGCCUGUAGCUCAGUUGGAUAGAGCGCCGGUUUCCUAAACUGGAGGUCACAGGUUCGAUCCCUGUCAGGCGCACCA
RNAcentral lists this transfer RNA (77 nucleotides) under Acidobacterium sp. RNAcentral describes it as "tRNA-Arg". It matches the Rfam family "tRNA". From Rfam's summary of the family: Transfer RNA (tRNA) molecules are approximately 80 nucleotides in length. Their secondary structure includes four short double-helical elements and three loops (D, anti-codon, and T loops). Further hydrogen bonds mediate the characteristic L-shaped molecular structure. tRNAs have two regions of fundamental functional importance: the anti-codon, which is responsible for specific mRNA codon recognition, and the 3' end, to which the tRNAs corresponding amino acid is attached (by aminoacyl-tRNA synthetases). tRNAs cope with the degeneracy of the genetic code in two manners: having more than one tRNA (with a specific anti-codon) for a particular amino acid; and 'wobble' base-pairing, i.e. permitting non-standard base-pairing at the 3rd anti-codon position. RNAcentral also lists the same sequence under 1 other name. The record is from RNAcentral. Lineage: Bacteria; Pseudomonadati; Acidobacteriota; Terriglobia; Terriglobales; Acidobacteriaceae.